RNAcentral lists this ribosomal RNA (253 nucleotides) under uncultured bacterium. RNAcentral describes it as "partial 16S ribosomal RNA". It matches the Rfam family "Bacterial small subunit ribosomal RNA", at positions 524 to 776 of the family's 1533-position model. The record is from RNAcentral.
UACGUAGGGGGCGAGCGUUGUCCGGAUUUAUUGGGCGUAAAGAGCGUGUAGGCGGUUCGGUAAGUCUGUCGUGAAAUCCUGAGGCUCAACCUCGGGCGUGCGAUGGAUACUGCCGGGCUAGAGGAUGGUAGAGUCGAGUGGAAUUCCUAGUGUAGAGGUGAAAUUCGUAGAUAUUAGGAAGAACACCAGUGGCGAAGGCGGCUCACUGGCCCGGUACUGACGCUGAGGCGCGAAAGCGUGGGGAGCAAACAGG